This 309-nucleotide small RNA is filed under the name Arabidopsis thaliana (thale cress). Its description in RNAcentral is "ATSL068480". Lineage: Eukaryota; Viridiplantae; Streptophyta; Magnoliopsida; Brassicales; Brassicaceae. The record is from RNAcentral.
AAAAAUUAGAAAGAAUACCAUAUUUAGUUUUAGAGUUUUAAAUAAAAUUGAGCUAACUAAAAGUUGUUGUAAUCUAAGCAUAAAUCUCACAUCUUUAGAUGUUUACUGCUGAAAUUGCAAGAGUUCUCGCUAAACAAAAAAAAAAUCUAAACAAGAGUACUCUUCAACAAGGAUGUACAACUGUUAGUAUGUUCCCCUUUAGUGGCCGAAGCGUUAACAACUCUCAAUGCUAUAGAAAUUGCAAUAGAAUUGGAAUUCGCAAAUGGUUGUUAAAACUAUCAACUGGAAGAUUUUCUCAAAAGAAUUAUC